Small nucleolar RNA from Syngnathoides biaculeatus (alligator pipefish), 136 nucleotides. RefSeq annotates it as small nucleolar RNA SNORA8. Lineage: Eukaryota; Metazoa; Chordata; Actinopteri; Syngnathiformes; Syngnathidae. The record is from RefSeq and is a predicted model, not a curated record. The transcript has a single exon.
AGCACUGUAUGGUGUCUGUAGCCAGCUGCUCCAUCAGCAGGCUUGUUCAAAUGUCAGUGCCAGAGCAAAGUCAGCACAUGGCAUCGUUGGUCUCCUCGCUGCGUGUGUGGGGAGUCCUGGUAUGACUGACACACCA